Cinara cedri is the source of this 597-nucleotide non-coding RNA. The record is from the annotation of a GenBank genome assembly. Lineage: Eukaryota; Metazoa; Arthropoda; Insecta; Hemiptera; Aphididae.
AAAAUGUUUGAUUUAAGAGUUUUUUCAAGUCACGAUUAAUAUAACAUAGGAGAUUUAAAAUACUCCGCCAAAAUGACUCAUACUCAUUUUUAAUUUCUAAACUUUGGUCAAUGAACAACAUUACAACUGCAUGGUUUCUACGGCUUCUAGAAACCUGAAAUAGUCAGUAAAUUUGUAUUUCAAACUUUAAUCUCCAUUUUAUUAACAGCCUCAUACAAACCUAUCACUCAUCUUCCAAUCAUCUCAAAAUUAUUCGAAAAACUACUUCUAAAACACUUGAAACCUUAAGAGAGCUUGUACUGGAAAACCAAUUUGGAUUUCGAAAUAAACACUCAACCAUCGACCAGGUCCAUUGCGUCAUAAACGUGAUAAACAAAGAGCUUGAAGAAAAGAAGUAUUGCUGCGAGUAUUCCUUGACGUAGCACAAGCUUUCUAUAAAGUUUGGCACAAAGAAUUGCUUAUAAAGUUACGUAAAUAGUUGCCGUAUACUUGGUGCACACUUCUCGAAUCCUACUUGACUGAUCGUCAAUUCAUGGUCAUCCACAAAGAAGUAGUAACUGAAUGGAAAAAUAUAUCAGCGGAUGUACCACAGGGAAG